This 507-nucleotide ribosomal RNA is filed under the name uncultured bacterium. Its description in RNAcentral is "bacterial SSU rRNA". It matches the Rfam family "Bacterial small subunit ribosomal RNA", at positions 9 to 489 of the family's 1533-position model. The record is from RNAcentral.
GAGUUUGAUCGUGGCUCAGAACGAACGCUGGCGGCGUGGAUAAGACAUGCAAGUCGAACGAUUACUAUCGGGUAGCAAUAUUCGGUAGUGAGAGUGGCGCAAGGGUGCGUAACACGUGGGCAAUUUGCCAUGAAGUCUGGAAUAACUUGCUGAAAGGCGAGCUAAUACCGGAUGUGAUAUCUGGAAGGCAUCUUCUGGAUCUUAAAGUCGGGGACCGUAAGGCCUGACGCUUCUUGAUAAGCCCGCGGCCUAUCAGCUAGUUGGUGAGGUAACGGCUCACCAAGGCUAAGACGGGUAGCUGGUCUGAGAGGACGACCAGCCUCACUGGAACUGAGACGCGGUCCAGACACCUACGGGUGGCAGCAGUCGAGAAUUUUUCACAAUGGGCGAAAGCCUGAUGGAGCGACGCCGCGUGGGGGAUGAAUGGCUUCGGCCCGUAAACCCCUGUCAUUUGCGAUCAAACCUUACGAUUUAACACAUCGUGAGCUGAUAGUAGCGAAAGAGGAA